AGCUGGCGGCGGGGGAGGCGGGCAGCGGAGCCCAGCAGACCCGGCGAGCGGAGCUGCGGCUGGAGAGCGGCGACCACUGCGGAUCUCGGAAAGAAGAAAUGAUGUAAAUCACUCACUAUCCAAACUUUAAGGUCAAAGGUGAGAAGGAAGGUCAGGAAGAACAUGGCCUGGCCACAUGUUUUUCAAAGAGUGUCUCUGCUGUCCCAGUUCAGCCAUCAUCACGUUGUAGUGUUCCUGCUCACUUUCUUCAGUUAUUCGUUGCUCCACGCUUCACGAAAAACAUUUAGCAAUGUCAAAGUCAGUAUCUCUGAGCAGUGGACCCCAAGUGCUUUUAACACGUCAGUUGAGCUGCCUGUGGAGAUCUGGAGCAGCAACCAUUUGUUCCCCAGUGCAGAGAAAGCGACUCUUUUCCUCGGAACACUGGAUACCAUUUUCCUCUUCUCCUAUGCUGUGGUGUUUGUCUUUGGCGCGCUCACAGAAUGGCUGCAUUUCUACAACAAAUGGCUGUACUGCUGCCUGUGGAUUGUGAACGGCCUGCUGCAGUCCACUGGUUGGCCCUGUGUGGUUGCUGUGAUGGGCAACUGGUUUGGGAAAGCCGGACGAGGAGUUGUUUUUGGUCUCUGGAGUGCCUGUGCUUCGGUGGGCAACAUUUUGGGAGCAUGCCUAGCUUCUUCUGUUCUUCAGUAUGGUUAUGAGUAUGCCUUUCUGGUGACGGCGUCUGUGCAGUUUGCUGGUGGGAUCGUUAUCUUCUUUGGACUCCUGGUGUCACCAGAAGAAAUUGGAAAACUCUGAGCUCCUUUUAGUGAGUAAAAGGAGAACAGUACUGCCGUUUGAGUCCUGUCGACAUUGUAGCCAGCCCCUGGCACAGCUGGACGUGUUUGAGAGGAGUGAUGCACGUCUUUUAUAGAUACAGGAAAAUAUUCGCAUUUGCAAAUGAUUUUUAUAAUUGAGACACUGGCAAGGAAUGAACAGGGAUGUAUUUCUAAUUUCACUUCUUGAAACAUUACUUUUCAUCCAUAAAAAUGAUGCACAAAAAUGAUACUUAACCUGUAGUUAAGUACAGAUUACAUACAAACGAAACCACAGAAACAAACAGAUGUACAAUUCUUCUAUCUUUUGAGUAUUUUUAGAUAGACUGUGUGACUUUAAUUGACCUUAGUUGACUUCAGUCUCUGGACCUUCGUUGCUGCUUCUGUAAAAUGGAAAUAAAAAUAACAUCACCCCAUAAGUA
RNAcentral lists this small RNA (1231 nucleotides) under Pongo abelii (Sumatran orangutan). RNAcentral describes it as "retained intron". The record is from RNAcentral. Lineage: Eukaryota; Metazoa; Chordata; Mammalia; Primates; Hominidae.